ACAGCUCUUCUCGGAAGCUACUGCAUAGCUAGCUAGCAGCCACCUGUCUUGUAAAGGGACCAACAGCCAUCCCCGCACGGAUCAAUAUUUUAAUGUGACUUAUCAGGCUGGCUUGUUUACUUAAAAACUCCGGAUCCCAUAAAGGCCAAGAGGGAGUCAGUUUUGGAAACAGACGCUCUGAACACACACCCUAGCGUUGUAAAUAGAUAGGGCCUAAAACAUAAAACUGAGAAUUGUUAGAGACAUAAUGAAGUGAUCGGCUCUCAAGAGGAAAAGUUUAAGGCAACCAAAGAACAAAUAAGAACAAAGGAAAAAAGAGGACCAAUGCAGCCGUAUGCAAUGGUAUCUGUGGUUGUAAUUCUAUACAUCCAUGUUUUUUCUUUCAUCUCCCCAAGGCCUCACUCCUGCUGGAGCUGUGGAGUGUGACAAUGGUGUUUGUAUCCAGUCUGUCAAACGCCAUUAUCACACUAAAUAGCUACUGUUAGAAAAGUCGUCAAUUCGCAGAAAGAAAACAAAGAGAAUUCUUUGAGUAACAUCCGUUCCUUGCAAAGCAGAAAGAAGACAACAGUACCAUGUCAUGACAACUCUUUGCUUUGUGAUGCCAAAAUCUCCUGAAAUAAAAAAUAUGCUCUGCUUUUCUGAAAGUACACAUUGUAGUCCAACUUGUUCUGUGGAGAAGUACAUGACUCAUGUUUAUAUUCAU
Molecule: non-coding RNA, 703 nt
Organism: Pogona vitticeps (central bearded dragon)
Lineage: Eukaryota; Metazoa; Chordata; Lepidosauria; Squamata; Agamidae
Source: RefSeq, a predicted model, not a curated record